RNAcentral lists this ribosomal RNA (497 nucleotides) under uncultured bacterium. RNAcentral describes it as "partial 16S ribosomal RNA". It matches the Rfam family "Bacterial small subunit ribosomal RNA", at positions 28 to 507 of the family's 1533-position model. The record is from RNAcentral.
GAUGAACGCUGGCGGCGUGCCUAAUACAUGCAAGUCGAGCGAACGGACGAGAAGCUUGCUUCUCUGAUGUUAGCGGCGGACGGGUGAGUAACACGUGGAUAACCUACCUAUAAGACUGGGAUAACUUCGGGAAACCGGAGCUAAUACCGGAUAAUAUUUUGAACCGCAUGGUUCAAAAGUGAAAGACGGUCUUGCUGUCACUUAUAGAUGGAUCCUCGCUGCAUUAGCUAGUUGGUAAGGUAACGGCUUACCAAGGCAACGAUGCAUAGCCGACCUGAGAGGGUGAUCGGCCACACUGGAACUGAGACACGGUCCAGACUCCUACGGGAGGCAGCAGUAGGGAAUCUUCCGCAAUGGGCGAAAGCCUGACGGAGCCACGCCGCGUGAGUGAUGAAGGUCUUCGGAUCGUAAAACUCUGUUAUUAGGGAAGAACAUAUGUGUAAGUAACUGUGCACAUCUUGACGGUACCUAAUCAGAAAGCCACGGCUAACUACGUG